RNAcentral lists this ribosomal RNA (441 nucleotides) under uncultured soil bacterium. RNAcentral's name for it is "bacterial SSU rRNA". It matches the Rfam family "Bacterial small subunit ribosomal RNA", at positions 26 to 518 of the family's 1533-position model. The record is from RNAcentral.
AGAACGAACGCUGGCGGCAGGCUUAACACAUGCAAGUCGAACGCCCCGCAAGGGGAGUGGCAGACGGGUGAGUAACGCGUGGGAAUCUACCUAGUUCUACGGAACAACAGUUGGAAACGACUGCUAAUACCGUAUACGCCCUACGGGGGAAAGAUUUAUCGGAAUUAGAUGAGCCCGCGUAAGAUUAGCUAGUUGGUGGGGUAAUGGCCUACCAAGGCGACGAUCUUUAGCUGGUCUGAGAGGAUGAUCAGCCACACUGGGACUGAGACACGGCCCAGACUCCUACGGGAGGCAGCAGUGGGGAAUAUUGGACAAUGGGCGCAAGCCUGAUCCAGCCAUGCCGCGUGAGUGAUGAAGGCCUUAGGGUUGUAAAGCUCUUUCAGUGGGGAAGAUAAUGACGGUACCACAGAAGAAGCCCGGCUAACUCGUGCCAGCAGCCGC